CCCGCAACAUUCCUCAUCCAUCACACCAAGACAAAAGCAUCGACAUAUAAAAAUCCUUAACCAUACGGAUACUUAAUGUAGCCAAAAGACUAAUCCCCCUCUAUUGGAAAAACCAAUGCCCGCCCCCGUUAGGGACGUGGUACCAAAGAAUGGAGGAGCUGAGAGCACUGGAAGAGCUCUCCCUGCUGCCAGAGGGGAGGACCCAGACGUACAUGACGGUCUGGACACACUGGAUACUGACCUCGACUAACGCUGACUUCCAGGAUCUGUUGACUUGACUGAAGACACCUGACGGGACGAAAGACUACCUUGACUGAGAG
Molecule: non-coding RNA, 320 nt
Organism: Pelobates cultripes (western spadefoot toad)
Lineage: Eukaryota; Metazoa; Chordata; Amphibia; Anura; Pelobatidae
Source: the annotation of a GenBank genome assembly